This 261-nucleotide ribosomal RNA is filed under the name uncultured bacterium. Its description in RNAcentral is "partial 16S ribosomal RNA". It matches the Rfam family "Bacterial small subunit ribosomal RNA", at positions 524 to 784 of the family's 1533-position model. The record is from RNAcentral.
UACGAAGGGGGCGAGCGUUAUUCGGAAUCACUGGGCGUAAAGCGUGCGUAGGCUGCUUGGAAAGUUGGAAGUGAAAGCCCAGGGCUCAACCCUGGAAUUGCUUUCAAAACUACCAGGCUCGGAUUCGGGAGAGGAUAGCGGAAUUGUCAGUGUAGCAGUGAAAUGCGUAGAUAUUGACAGGAACACCAGUGGCGCAAGCGGCUAUCUGGACCGACAUCGACGCUGAGGCACGAAAGCGUGGGGAUCAAACAGGAUUAGAAA